AACAAAAUGCCUUUUCGGUGUGUGAAUCCUGAAGCUUAUUUUUUUCGAGAACAUUGUGAGUUCAUAUCUUACAUUGGCUAAUUGAUAGGCGUGAUCACAUGCCUGGGGAUUUUAAUCAGAAAAAAACCCAUAAAUUUGUUAUUUGUGAUUUUUCAACCUUGAUGAAUCACAAAUCAAAAUGAACCACCAUUUUUCUGAUCUAUGCCUAUCUCUAGUUCAUGUCUAUAAGUGUUAAUUUCGCUUUCUUGGUCUCUCUCUCUCUUUUAACAGGAAACUUUUAGGAGUCUUGCAUUUAUAACCCUCCAGUCAUCGUUACUUUUUCAGAUGUCAAAAAUUGAAAAUCGGUGGGGAUAAUAAAAGGCAGCUGAUUUCCUGGCCCUUGACAAUCUAGUUAAGCAUCUGACUGAGAAUGUUGGCACCAGCGUUGGAGGAAUCACUGAGCCUCAACUCAAGAUUGUCACCCUUCACAAGCAGGAGAAUGAUGGAAAUAGAGAUUCAGCAGUUCAGCU
This 509-nucleotide long non-coding RNA is filed under the name Pogona vitticeps (central bearded dragon). Its description in RNAcentral is "lncRNA (ENSPVIG00000021334.1)". Lineage: Eukaryota; Metazoa; Chordata; Lepidosauria; Squamata; Agamidae. The record is from RNAcentral.